Magnolia sinica is the source of this 838-nucleotide long non-coding RNA. RefSeq lists it as uncharacterized. The transcript is spliced from 3 exons. The record is from RefSeq and is a predicted model, not a curated record. NCBI's taxonomy places the organism in Eukaryota, Viridiplantae, Streptophyta, Magnoliopsida, Magnoliales, Magnoliaceae.
AAUCCCUGAAUAUUUUGAAAGAAUACCUGUUUUUUGUUCCUGCUUUUCCUUCUGAAUGGGUGAGGUUCAGUUUCCCUCAGAUUCUUUUUUUCCUAGUAUCAGCCUUAACAGAUUGAAGCCGUGAAGUUGGACACUGAAACCCAGUUGAGAUAAACCAAAAUGCUUGCACAUGCAAGCAAGGAAUCUGUGGGACCCUUCUCAAACAAUGUCAUUAAUGUCAGGGAACCAUGAAGUACUGCCAGAAGUUGUUUGCAUUGCAUUUUUUAUGCUUAAUGCCAUGAAGUACUGCCAGAACCUUUUCUGGUCGUAUGGUUCAUGUAAAUGAACUAUAGGUUUUCUAGUCUCUUUUAGUUCCCACAUGCAUUCUUGUUAUUUUUUUAAUGGUUAUUUUCCUAGUAAUUUUGUAAUAGUUGCUUGCUUGCGCAUUUUAAUGCUCGUUGAGCUUAAGAAUGUGUCUGAUCUGGAAAUUUUGUUUUCAACAGACAAUAAAGACAAAUGUAAUUGGCACACUAAAUAUGUUAGGUCUUGCAAAACGAGUUGGAGCGAGGAUUUUGCUGACAUCUACUUCAGAGGUGUAUGGCGAUCCUCUUGAACAUCCCCAAAAGGUGGGGAAAUGUUAACCCAAUUGGAGUUAGGAGUUGCUAUGAUGAAGGGAAGCGUGUAGCAGAGACUCUGAUGUUUGAUUAUCACAGGCAACAUGGCAUAGGUAAAAGAUAUCACUGUUCCUUGUGUUUCUGCAAAAAAAAGCUCUGAUGCUUCUGUUAAGUUGUUUGUGAAAUGAUAUUUCUCUGUUGAUAUAUAAACAAAUGUAUUGGUUAUGUGAAGAACGUGACUUUUA